This is a long non-coding RNA of Equus asinus (donkey), 6021 nucleotides long. The record is from Ensembl. Lineage: Eukaryota; Metazoa; Chordata; Mammalia; Perissodactyla; Equidae.
AAUGGUCAGCAUGGCUUCAUUCAAAUAACAUACUUAUUACUUAUGUGUAUUGAGUGUUUGAUACAAAGGAGGUGCUUUGCAAAUUAGCUCAUCGGAUCUGUCAACAUUUGUAAAAGGUUGUUAAACCAUUUCACAAAGGAGAAAGGAAUCAGCGACCUUCAUGGAUGUGGUUGUGGGCUUCACCCAGGAAGACUAGGCCUUGGUGGGCGCAUCCCGGCAAAAACUACACAGAGAUGUGAUGCUGGAGAACUUCAGUCAUCUUCUCUCUGUUGUUGAGUCUGUCAAUAAGGAGUCAUUUACUCAACAAGUAUCCAGAGAAGUUUCCACAUAUCAUGCUCACCUCUCAGCUCUCAUUUUUAUUCUUUCAUAACACAACUACGAGAAGGUAAUUCUGUUUAUUUAUUGAUUUAGUAACAUGUAAUUUGUCCCUUCACUAGAAUAUAGUCUUCUUGACCACAGUUUCAUGUCUUUGUUGCUGCUCUAUUGCCAACACCCAGAACAGUGCUGCAAACUCAAUGCAUUUUUUUUAAUAACUAAACAAUAAGAUUAAACAAUUCCUAAGUAAUUAUUCUGUUCUAAGCAGCAAUACCAGAGUUUGAGACCACAGCAGAAAAAACACCAGGCAACAUAAACUUAGGUUAUUCUGGAUUAACUAGAAACAUUUAAUUCCUCCCUUGUUGAAAACACUGGGAAUCUCUAUUCUGUGAGCUUGCUCGUGCACGUCGACAACGAGUUCCUCAAUUCUCUGGGCUUAGUGUCAUGGUGAUCCUCCUGCUGUGCUCAAGGACUUACAAGGUUUUCUUCAAUGCUCACUUAGUUGUUCAUUGAGAUUCUGUCCUUGACUUGAGGAAUAUGUAUGGUUCUUAAAACACAGUUCAAAAUUCAAGUGGCUUUUCCCCAUGAACAGGGUGGCAGCUCUGCAAAUAAGACACAAUUUCUCAUUGGAGCAAGGAGAGGAAUUGUGGAGGGAAGAAAGGGGAUUCCCACAAGGCCUGAGGCUGGGUAAGCUCCAGGCAUGUGUGUUCACUGUGAGGAGAAGCCUAGUCAGUGAGGGAUCAGGACCUUGGUAAUGCCAACUGCAGAUUUCCUUAAGUCAAUGGUCUUUUCAGGAAAGUAUGAGAAUCCAGUGGAGAAAAAUUCUCAAUGUUGUCAUUAUUCCUAGCAUUUAUCAAUGUCUUUUAUUUAUAGUUUAUGUCCUCUUUGGAUUGAAAGUUUCAUAUUGUGAACUUUGCCCUCAACCCUUUCCCUUGAUGAUUUCUUCUCUCAUAACCUUACCAAAAUCCGUCGUAAUUUUUUCUUCAACCUUGAAAACAUUUUGUAAUUGACAGUGCCCUAAAACAUGUUUCUGCGCACUAGUGCAUUGCUCCAUUUCACAUUCUUGCCCUGUGUAAGGGUCAAUAUUUGCCUUGCAUACUGUACAACAUUUUGGUUCCCUAAUGCCUCUUGAGAAAUUUAUUUUUUAAUUUACCUUAGGCAGGAGAAGUAACCUUUAAAACCAAGAAAUGGUAUCUAUACCAGAUAUCUGCAGGAAGGAUCCAUCUAACUGCACAGUGAUGGUAAGUUUCUUGGGUUGAACCCUGGUCCCCUACAUUAGAGGCCUGGGAACGGGAUGAUUAUUAGCAAAGCACAAUAACGGGACUAUAAUUUGAGUUGGGAGUAAGUCCCAUCCCAGCAGAAAGUUUUGCAUAAUUUUAAUUUAGGAAAGAUAUUGACCUGAGCUCAGAGCUAUAACCUGAGUUCUUAUAAAAGGACAAUUGUAUAAACAUAGCUCAAAUACCUAGUCUAUGAAACACAAUGAAGUUACAAAAUUAACCAACUGUACAGUUGAGGUGUUAUAAAGAAGAAAUCUCUGGGCUGGUCCAGUGGCACAACAGUUAAGUUCACACAUUCUGCUUCAGUGGCCCAGGGGUUUGCCAGUUUGGAUCCCAGGUGCAGACAUGGGACCACUUGGCAGGCCAUUCUGUGGCAGACAUCUCACAUAUAAAGUAGAGGAAGAUGGGCACAGAUGUUAGCUCAAGGCCAGUCUUCCUUAGCAAAAAGAGGAGGAUUGGCAGCAGACGUUAGCUCAGGGCUAAUCUUCCUCAAAAAAAAAAAAGAAGAAAUCUCAAUGCAUGCAAGAAAGUAACACACCGUGCGUAUGUAACUUACAAGGGGAAGGUUUUUAACCAGGAACUAUGGCUGACUGAUUAGCCUAGAAUUCAUACAUAGAGAAAAGAAUGAAUGAAUGUCUGUGGGCAGUCUUUUAAGUGCCUCUUAUCUCCUCCAAUAAGCAGAAAUCUCACAUUGAGGGAAGAACCCAUUGGAUAGAACUAGUGUGAGAUGCUUUUACUCACAGGUUCACAGUGACUUAACAUAUGUGAAGUCACGUGGGCCCAGGAGGCCCACCUCCAUAAGCUGUUGGACCAACUGAGGCAGCAAAGCCAUGAGGAAACACUGAAGUUUCACCUGAAAAAUACCCAAGAUAUUCUCCAGAACAUGGAAUACUGGUAGGCAGACCAGAUUCAAAAAGACAGAAGGGGAUGGCCUGAAAUCCAUAUUUAAGGUCAGAUGAAGCCUGCUUAGGAGCCCAGGGGUGUGCCCAGGAAGUUCAAGAUGAAAAUCUUGCCUCUAACUUCGGAGAAUGUUGUGGACUUUGCUGCUCUGCUCUCAGGCAGCUCAGAAGGUUCCAGGGAGAAUUUUGACCUGAAUAGCUUAUGGAGGGAGGUUUCAAGACCAUGUAAUUUAAACAAGUGCAGUCAAAGUGAUGGCUGUAAGUCAAGAAAGCAGAGCUCCUGGAGUGGUGAGAUGGGAAAGAUGGAGGGUGGGGAGGGUGUGGGUGCACCAACGAUGCACUCCUCGGGUCCCCAAGAUGCCAGAUGUCUGGGAAGCAGCUGCCACCAUGGCCUUUACUACUGCAGCCACCGCCAGUGCCAUUUCCCCAACCACCAAGAACACCACCGCAGUAGGCUGGACAGGGAAGUAAGCAGUAGGUUCUAAGUUCACCACUGUGGUCUCAAAUCUGGACCUGGGCAGUGGUGGGGCAAGAGGAAUUACCCUGAGGCAGGGGCAUGAAGAUCCCUGAGCUCCUCUCCAAGUGUCAUUUGUGGCAUUUGCAUCUGUUGAGCUGAGGUGGAUGCCUGCCCCAGAGGUGACCAGAGGCAGCCCAGUCCACAUGCCACACCACAGGGGCCCCACCCCACCCAAUGCUUCCCAGGAGACUGUGGGACACCACCCCCACUGCUGGUGCCAUUGCACUGGCUGCUGCCAAGUUCAUCAUCCUCCCUCGGGAGCCCAGCCUGGGCUGGGAGGGGCCUGAAUGUGGAGGGGCUGAGACACAGUUUGGGCACACUAGCUGCCUGGCAGCCUCCUGCUCCAACCAGGCUGAUGACAACUGCCAGGGUACUUUCAGGUCUCAGGGCCCUUUUCCCCAUCCUAGACCCCCAACAGAGUCUCAUCCCAGGAAGCUGGAAUGGCCGGCCUCCUUCAGACAAAGCAGGCUCCCCCAUAGGAUACGCGUCUCCCUGUGCCCUUCCACAGUGCACCCAGGGAGAUGGUCAGGAGAGGGCCUGCCUUGGCCCUUAGUCAUGGAUUUCUCUCAAGAGUAGAGCUCUGGGCAGCAGGAGGGCAUGGCUUCCGUGACUCCAGAGUGAAGGGAGGUGCCUGCCCAUGGAAGGGCAGGCCUGCCAAUUUCCCCACUAUUUCCGCAGGGGGCAUGGCAUGCCUAGUGUGGCCACACUCCUUUCGCUAGCAUUCCUGAACCCUGUUGACUUGUCAAACAUUUACUGCUCCCUGUGUUGAAAAGUUCCUUCCUGAUGGGAGGCCUUGUUUUGUCAAACAAUAAAGGAGGCCCCGGAUGAUCAGCACGCAGGAUGGAUAGCCUUGCCCUGCCCCCUGCUCCCUGAUGGGCAAAGAGGGGCAAAAAGCCAUUUUCAAAGGAUGGGAGUGGGACCUGAGCAGAAGGGGUGUGAGACACACUUGUAGAAGUUGGGAAUCCCAGUUCCCCUGCAGCUGCACCUGGCCACCACCAGUGGGCUCCCCCACACUUUCAGUGCCACAAGGACCUGUCCCCUCAGCAAGCCCGAGGGCCUUUCUGAGUCCAGUCACUUUUGCUGUGCAGGCGUAGAUAGAAAGAAGGGUUUUCCCUCCAUGGAGAGGGGCUUCCAGAGUGCGAACAGUCAAUAGGACCCAUGGGAUUUGUCAAUCAGUUGGGGAGGGGCGGGUGCACCCACCAUCCUCUCUUCAUUUCCCUGAGAUCCUAGAUCUGGUGAGAGUCACUUGAGGUUUCCGUGAGAUUAGUGGAGUUCUCACUGUGUUGUAGGAGGUCUUGUUGAGGUAAUGGUUGGCCUCUGUGAUAUCAGGUCAUGGUGAGGUCAGAGGGGAGUCUCUAUAAUGUCACUGGAGGUUUCUUGGAGGUCAUGGGAGUUCUUUGUGUGUUCAGGGAGUUCUCUGUGAAGUCAGGAAACAUCACUUUGAGGGUAGGGGGUGUCACUAUGAGGUCAGUGGAGGUCUCUGGGUGAUCAGAGAAGUCUCUGUGUGGUCAGGGGGAGUGUCUAAAGUGUCAGGGGAUGUCUCUGUUAGGUCAGCUGAGGUCUCUGUCAGUGAAGUCAUAAGGGGCCCCUAUGAGGUCAGAGGUGGUCUCUGUGAGGUCACGGUGUUACCAAAAUCAAAGUGUGUUGAAUCCUUGCGAGUUAAGUUGGCAUGAGCUAUUUGGGGACAUAAAUCUUGCCUCGUUUGUUUGUCAUCCAGCCCUUGACUAUUGGGGACCAGUGAUAAUGCUGUGUAGUAGCUUCCCUCACUUCAUCUGUAGUAAGUUCAGAGAAAGUGUCAGUUCACACAAGGGCAGCGUUGGAAUUAAUGGUAACUGGAGAAGCUCUCCUGAUGGAGUGGCCAUUUUUGCAGCUGCAGCUACCAUGUUAUGUCCUUUUGUGGAAUCUGAUUCCUCAUUUUGAUGGGCUUUACCAUGGAUCCCAGCUACUUUCUUGGAGAUCUGUACCACUUCUAGCAGUUUAAGCAUCUCCAGCCCAUGUCCAUGGUUCACUCUGGGGACCUCUGUGGCUGGAGCUCACUUCUGGGCAAGCAUGGCUUAAAAACACAUUGGAAUCAAGGAGAAGGUCAGGUAGGGUUUAAGAUAUGACAGGAUUUUAAAGAAAUCUGAGGGGAAUCUAGCAUCAUAUCUUGAUAGUGCAGUGUUGUAUUUUGGGAUAGCUGGAGGCGUCCUCAGUAACUGGUAGACUAGAGAAUUGAUGUAGGGGUCCAAACCCUCAUAGGUAAGCCCAUAGCCAAUUUUUUGGAUUUCUUGAUUAACAGGCAGGUGGCAGCUACAGCUCUCCAGCAUGGGGGCUAUCCUUUCACCACGGUGUGUAACUUACCCCAUUCAAAAGGGUCCGUUUAUGGUCCCUGUAGUUUAUCAGAGAGGCUAAUACUCAUGUAUACAAUGUUAAGAAUCCAAAGAAGGAAAAACCCAGUCAUCCCUUUAGACACCUUAUACCCCUUACUGGCUAAGAAGUUGAACAUACUUAAGUCAAUUCUGACUCUACCAGGGGACAAAAUCAGAUCUGACAGGAUUACCAUUCACCUUGAACACAACUUAGAUGCCAACUGUAAGUUCAGGUUGUCAGCUGUGCUCCUGACCAACCAGCAAGAAGAGCACACGUUCCCAGAAAACCCUCCUUGGGUUUGAAUGCUCUGAUAGAGAGGCUCACAAACUCAGGAAACGUUUCACAUAUUAAGAGCAGGAUGGAAGAGGUGCAUAGAGCAAAACGUGUGGCAGGGAGGAGGAGCUCCCAGAGCCUCUCUGGGUGUACCACUCUCCCCGAACCUCCACGUGUUCAACAAUGCAAAAGCUGUCUGAAGACCAUCCUUUUGGGGUUGAAUGGAGACUUCAUCACCCAGGCAUAGUCGAUUCAAACAUUGGCUAUGGGCAAUUCAAGAAGAACUUCAGCAAAUCUCCCCCACCCCCACAGCUCAAAACCACCACAGGGGUGGGGUGGAGGAGGGGAUGGGCGUGAAACUUCUCACCUGCAAAUCACACAAUUGGUUUCC